CCUACGGGGGGCAGCAGUGAGGAAUAUUGGUCAAUGGACGAGAGUCUGAACCAGCCAAGUAGCGUGAAGGAUGACUGCCCUAUGGGUUGUAAACUUCUUUUAUAUGGGAAUAAAAUGUUCCACGUGUGGGAUUUUGUAUGUACCAUAUGAAUAAGGAUCGGCUAACUCCGUGCCAGCAGCCGCGGUAAUACGGAGGAUCCGAGCGUUAUCCGAAUUUAUUGGGUUUAAAGGGAGCGUAGGUGGAUUGUUAAGUCAGUUGUGAAAGUUUGCGGCUUAACCGUAAAAUUGCAGUUGAAACUGGCAGUCGUGAGUACAGUAGAGGUGGGCGGAAUUCGUGGUGUAGCGGUGAAAUGCUUAGAGAUCACGAAGAACUCCGAUUGCGAAGGCAGCUCACUGGACUGCAACUGACACUGAGGCUCGAAAGUGUGGGUAUCAAACAGGAUUAGAUACCCGUGUAGUC
This 460-nucleotide ribosomal RNA is filed under the name uncultured bacterium. RNAcentral's name for it is "partial 16S ribosomal RNA". It matches the Rfam family "Bacterial small subunit ribosomal RNA", at positions 338 to 795 of the family's 1533-position model. The record is from RNAcentral.